GGCGUGCUAUACAUGCAAGUCGAGCGAAUGGAUUAAGAGCUUGCUCUUAUGAAGUUAGCGGCGGACGGGUGAGUAACACGUGGGUAACCUGCCCAUAAGACUGGGAUAACUCCGGGAAACCGGGGCUAAUACCGGAUAACAUUUUGAACCGCAUGGUUCGAAAUUGAAAGGCGGCUUCGGCUGUCACUUAUGGAUGGACCCGCGUCGCAUUAGCUAGUUGGUGAGGUAACGGCUCACCAAGGCAACGAUGCGUAGCCGACCUGAGAGGGUGAUCGGCCACACUGGGACUGAGACACGGCCCAGACUCCUACGGGAGGCAGCAGUAGGGAAUCUUCCGCAAUGGACGAAAGUCUGACGGAGCAACGCCGCGUGAGUGAUGAAGGCUUUCGGGUCGUAAAACUCUGUUGUUAGGGAAGAACAAGUGCUAGUUGAAUAAGCUGGCACCUUGACGGUACCUAACCAGAAAGCCACGGCUAACUACGUNAAACAGCCC
This 493-nucleotide ribosomal RNA is filed under the name Bacillus sp. IBA 33. RNAcentral's name for it is "bacterial SSU rRNA". It matches the Rfam family "Bacterial small subunit ribosomal RNA", at positions 41 to 517 of the family's 1533-position model. The record is from RNAcentral. Lineage: Bacteria; Bacillati; Bacillota; Bacilli; Caryophanales; Bacillaceae.